GUGGGGAAUAUUGGACAAUGGGCGAAAGCCUGAUCCAGCCAUGCCGCGUGUGUGAAGAAGGUCUUCGGAUUGUAAAGCACUUUAAGUUGGGAGGAAGGGCAGUAAGUUAAUUCCUUGCUGUUUUGACGUUACCGACAGAAUAAGCACCGGCUAACUUCGUGCCAGCAGCCGCGGUAAUACGAAGGGUGCAAGCGUUAAUCGGAAUUACUGGGCGUAAAGCGCGCGUAGGUGGUUUUGUAAGUUGGAGGUGAAAUCCCCGGGCUCAACCUGGGAACUGCCUCCAAAACUGCAUGACUAGAGUACGGUAGAGGGUAGUGGAAUUUCCUGUGUAGCGGUGAAAUGCGUAGAUAUAGGAAGGAACACCAGUGGCGAAGGCGACUACCUGGACUGAUACUGACACUGAGGUGCGAAAGCGUGGGGAGCAAACAGGAUUAGAAACCCUUGUAGUCC
This 450-nucleotide ribosomal RNA is filed under the name uncultured bacterium. RNAcentral's name for it is "partial 16S ribosomal RNA". It matches the Rfam family "Bacterial small subunit ribosomal RNA", at positions 354 to 796 of the family's 1533-position model. The record is from RNAcentral.